RNAcentral lists this ribosomal RNA (253 nucleotides) under uncultured bacterium. RNAcentral describes it as "partial 16S ribosomal RNA". It matches the Rfam family "Bacterial small subunit ribosomal RNA", at positions 524 to 776 of the family's 1533-position model. The record is from RNAcentral.
UACGGGGGGGGCAAGCGUUGUUCGGAAUUACUGGGCGUAAAGGGCUCGUAGGUGGCCAACUAAGUCAGACGUGAAAUCCCUCGGCUUAACCGGGGAACUGCGUCUGAUACUGGAUGGCUUGAGAUUGGGAGAGGGAUGCGGAAUUCCAGGUGUAGCGGUGAAAUGCGUAGAUAUCACUUGGAACGCCAAUGGUGAAAACAGACUGCUGGGGGUGUGCUGACGCUGAGACACGAAAGCCAGGGGAGCAAACGGG